GUGGCAAACGGGUGAGUAACGCGUGGGAAUCUGCCUUUUGGUGGGGGAUAACUGAGGGAAACUUCAGCUAAUACCGCAUAAGCUUGGAAACAAGGAAAGAUUUAUUGCCAGAAGAUGAGCCCGCGUCAGAUUAGGUAGUUGGUAGGGUAAAGGCCUACCAAGCCUGUGAUCUGUAGCUGGUCUGAGAGGAUGAUCAGCCACACUGGGAUUGAGAUACGGCCCAGACUCCUACGGGAGGCAGCAGUGAGGAAUAUUGGACAAUGGGGGAAACCCUGAUCCAGCAAUGUCGCGUGAACGAUGAAGGCCUUCGGGUUGUAAAGUUCUUUCACUCAUGAAGAUAAUGACGGUAAUGAGAGAAGAAGCUCCGGCUAACUCUGUGCCAGCAGCCGCGGUAAUACAGAGGGAGCAAGCGUUGUUCGGAAUGACUGGGCGUAAAGGGUGCGUAGGUGGUUUCCUAAGCAAGGCGUCAAAGCCCUGGGCUCAACCCAGGAAUCGCGCUUUGAACUGGGAGGCUAGAGUGCGAGAGAGGAAAGUGGAAUUCAUAGUGUAGAGGUGAAAUUCGUAGAUAUUAUGAGGAAUACCAAAAGCGAAGGCAGCUUUCUGGCUCGUUACUGACGCUGAGGCACGAAAGCGUGGGGAGCAAACAGGAUUAGAUACCCUGGUAGUCCAC
This 670-nucleotide ribosomal RNA is filed under the name uncultured Rhodospirillales bacterium. Its description in RNAcentral is "bacterial SSU rRNA". It matches the Rfam family "Bacterial small subunit ribosomal RNA", at positions 95 to 798 of the family's 1533-position model. Lineage: Bacteria; Pseudomonadati; Pseudomonadota; Alphaproteobacteria; Rhodospirillales. The record is from RNAcentral.